AAGGAGAGUCUGCUGAGGUAAGGUCGUCGGAGGGGUCAGAGUGGCGAGGGCGAAAGCCGUAGUCGAUGGAAAACAGGUUAAUAUUCCUGUACUUUAUUUCCAUGUGUCCCGAGGGACGGAGGAGGUUGGCUUGGCCGGAUACUGGAUGCCGGUUUAAGUAGUAAGGUGUUGAGAGGUAGAAGAAAAAAUACCUUGAGCUAAGCUACGAGUACGUUUGCCUAUGGGCAAGAAGCAAGUACCCAAUCCUACUCCCUAGAAAAGCUCGAACGACGUUGGGUGUGCAUAUUUCUCUGUAACUAAAGCAAUUAAACUAUAGAAUGCAUUCCCCAUGAGAAAUAACCUGUACCCGAAACCGACACAGGUAGGUAGGUAGAGAAUACCAAGGGGCGCGAGAUAACUCUCUCUAAGGAACUCGGCAAAAUGGCCCCGUAACUUCGGGAGAAGGGGUACCUCUUGCAAAAGAGGACGCAGUGACCAGGCCCAAGCGACUGUUUACCACAAACACAGGUCUCCGGUAAGUCGUAAGACAAUGUAUGGGGGCUGACGCCUGCCCAGUGCCGGAAGGUUAAGGAAGUUGGUUAGCUUCGGCGAAGCUAGCGACUGAAGCCCCGGUGAACGGCGGCCGUAACUAUAACGGUCCUAAGGUAGCGAAAUUCCUUGUCAGGUAAGUUCUGACCCGCACGAAAGGCGUAACGAUUUGGGCACUGUCUCGGAGAGAGGCUCGGUGAAAUAGAAUUGUCUGUGAAGAUGCGGACUACCUGCACCUGGACAGAAAGACCCUAUGAAGCUUUACUGUAGCCUGAAAUUGGCUUCGGGCUCUUCUUGCGCAGCUUAGGUGGAAGGCAGUGAUCUCUUUUUUCCGGAAAGGAGUGAGCCAUCAGUGAGAUACCACUCUUGAAGAGCUAGAAGUCUAAUGGCGAUCCUUGAAUCAGGACGCUUGACAGUUUCAGGCGGGCAGUUUUACUGGGGCGGUAGCCUCCCAAAAUGUAACGGAGGCGUGCAAAGGUUCCCUCAGGCUGGACGGAAAUCAGCUGUAGAGUGUAAAGGCGAAGGGAGCUUGACUGCAAGACCUACAAGUCGAGCAGGGACGAAAGUCGGUCUUAGUGAUCCGACGGUGCCGCGUGGAAGGGCCGUCGCUCAACGGAUAAAAGUUACUCUAGGGAUAACAGGCUGAUCUCCCCCAAGAGUUCACAUCGACGGGGAGGUUUGGCACCUCGAUGUCGGCUCAUCGCAUCCUGGGGCGGUAGUACGUCCCAAGGGUUGGGCUGUUCGCCCAUGAAAGCGGUACGCGAGCUGGGUUCAGAACGUCGUGAGACAGUUCGGUCCAUAUCCGGUGUAGGCGUUAGAGUAUUGAGAGGAUCUUUCCCUAGUACGAGAGGACCGGGAAGGACGCACCUCUGGUGUACCAGUUCUCGUGCCAACGGGACACGCUGGGUAGCCAAGUGCGGAGCGGAUAACUGCUGAAAGCAUCUAAGUAGGAAGCCCACCUUAAGAUGAGUACUCUGUAUUCCUCGUCACAACCUUUUCAUAAGAGAAGAUAAACACGAGUAAGAUAAGGUCACGGCAAGACUAGCCGUUUAAUAGGUGUCCGGUG
Molecule: ribosomal RNA, 1594 nt
Filed under: marine metagenome
Description: bacterial LSU rRNA
Rfam family: Bacterial large subunit ribosomal RNA
Source: RNAcentral